AUUGAACGCUGGCGGCAGGCCUAACACAUGCAAGUCGAACGAGUGGCGGACGGGUGAGUAAUGUCUGGGAAACUGCCCGAUGGAGGGGGAUAACUACUGGAAACGGUAGCUAAUACCGCAUACCAUCGGAUGUGCCCAGAUGUUAUUAGCUUGUAGGUGAGGUAACGGCUCACCUAGGCGACGAUCCCUAGCUGGUCUGAGAGGAUGACCAGCGACGCUGGAACUGAGACACGGUCCAGACUACUACGGGAGGCAGCAGGGGGGAAUAUUGCACAAUGGGCGCAAGCCUGAUGGUGCCAUGCCGCGGGUAUGAAGAAGGCCUUCAGGUUGUAAAGUACUGUCAGCGGGGAGGCGUUACCCGCAGAAGAAGCACCGGCGAACUCCGGGCCAGCAGCCGCGGUAAUAC
RNAcentral lists this ribosomal RNA (406 nucleotides) under uncultured bacterium. Its description in RNAcentral is "partial 16S ribosomal RNA". It matches the Rfam family "Bacterial small subunit ribosomal RNA", at positions 30 to 526 of the family's 1533-position model. The record is from RNAcentral.